Molecule: ribosomal RNA, 282 nt
Filed under: uncultured soil bacterium
Lineage: Bacteria
Description: partial 16S ribosomal RNA
Rfam family: Bacterial small subunit ribosomal RNA
Source: RNAcentral
AGGACGAACGCUGGCGGCGUGCUUAACACAUGCAAGUCGAGCGGUAAGGCCUUUCGGGGUACACGAGCGGCGAACGGGUGAGUAACACGUGAGUAAUCUGCCCUUCACUCUGGGAUAAGCACUCGAAAGGGUGUCUAAUACCGGAUACGACCGUCCCUCGCAUGAGGUGGUGGUGGAAACUUUUGUGGGUGGGGGAUGUGCUCGCGGCCUAUCAGCUUGUUGGUGGGUAAUGGCCUACCAAGGCUUCGACGGGUAGCCGGCCUGAGAGGGUGACCGGCCACA